CUCCAGCACUGCGUAAACCCAUUCGGAGCACGCCGAACGCGGACGCGUUAGGGCUGAGCGCCGAGUGGCGGCCUCGGCCGGGUCUCCCUGCCUCUCCAGGUCUGGACAGCGCGGCCGCUCUCGUCACUGCGGCGACCGCCAGGCCCACGGACGCGCGCCCGCCGCCGCCGCCGCCGCCUCCAUGCUGCAACGCUGGGUGCAGCUCUUCGGGGUCCGGCGGCCGCCGUUGCUUGCACGCAUCGCCGCGGUGUGCCCGGCUCCGCGCUCCGCGCGGGUUGUGACCGCUGCCCUGGAACUCAGCUGCCAGCCCGGCUCCUGAGCCGCCGAGUCGCCUGGGAGCCAGGACAACAGGCGGGGCGCUCGAUGCAGCGACGCGCGGGGCGGGGGGCGCGCGACGAGCGUGUGCAGAGAGGCCCGAACCGAGGACUGUGGAAGCAAAUGUGUUAA
Molecule: long non-coding RNA, 447 nt
Filed under: Dasypus novemcinctus (nine-banded armadillo)
Lineage: Eukaryota; Metazoa; Chordata; Mammalia; Cingulata; Dasypodidae
Description: lncRNA (ENSDNOG00000050148.1)
Source: RNAcentral